This 65-nucleotide small nuclear RNA is filed under the name Pavo cristatus (Indian peafowl). The record is from RNAcentral. Lineage: Eukaryota; Metazoa; Chordata; Aves; Galliformes; Phasianidae.
GUGCUCGCUUCAGCAGCACAUACACUAAAGCUGGAACGAUACAGAGAAGAUUAGCAUGGCCCCUG